RNAcentral lists this ribosomal RNA (497 nucleotides) under uncultured bacterium. Its description in RNAcentral is "partial 16S ribosomal RNA". It matches the Rfam family "Bacterial small subunit ribosomal RNA", at positions 28 to 507 of the family's 1533-position model. The record is from RNAcentral.
GAUGAACGCUGGCGGCGUGCCUAAUACAUGCAAGUCGAGCGAACAGACGAGGAGCUUGCUCCUCUGAUGUUAGCGGCGGACGGGUGAGUAACACGUGGAUAACCUACCUAUAUGACGGGGAUAACUUCGGGAAACCGGAGCUAAUACCGGAUAACAUGUUGAACCGCAUGGUUCAACAGUGAAAGACGGUCUUGCUGUCACUUAUAGAUGGAUCCGCGCCGCAUUAGCUAGUUGGUAAGGUAACGGCUUACCAAGGCAACGAUGCGUAGCCGACCUGAGAGGGUGAUCGGCCACACUGGAACUGAGACACGGUCCAGACUCCUACGGGAGGCAGCAGUAGGGAAUCUUACGCAAUGGGCGAAAGCCUGACGGAGCAACGCCGCGUGAGUGAAGAAGGUCUUCGGAUCGUAAAACUCUGUUAUUAGGGAAGAACAAAUGUGUAAGUAACUAUGCACGUAUUGACGGUACCUAAUGAGAAAGCCACGGCUAACUACGUG